Molecule: ribosomal RNA, 484 nt
Filed under: uncultured bacterium
Lineage: Bacteria
Description: partial 16S ribosomal RNA
Rfam family: Bacterial small subunit ribosomal RNA
Source: RNAcentral
AUUGAACGCUGGCGGCAGGCCUAACACAUGCAAGUCGAGCGGAUGAAGGGAGCUUGCUCCUGGAUUCAGCGGCGGACGGGUGAGUAAUGCCUAGGAAUCUGCCUGGUAGUGGGGUAUAACGUCCGGACACGGGCGCUAAUACCGCAUACGUCCUGAGGGCGUAAGUGUGGGAUCUUCGGACCUCACGCUAUCAGAUGAGCCUAGGUCGGAUUAGCUAGUUGGUGGGGUAAAGGCCUACCAAGGCGACGAUCCGUAACUGGUCUGAGAGGAUGAUCAGUCACACUGGAACUGAGACACGGUCCAGACUCCUACGGGAGGCAGCAGUGGGGAAUAUUGGACAAUGGGCGAAAGCCUGAUCCAGCCAUGCCGCGUGUGUGAAGAAGGUCUUCGGAUUGUAAAGCACUUUAAGUUGGGAGGAAGGGCAGUAAGUUAAUACCUUGCUGUUUUGACGUUACCAAAAGAAUAAGCACCGGCUAACUUCGUG